RNAcentral lists this ribosomal RNA (639 nucleotides) under uncultured Akkermansia sp. Its description in RNAcentral is "bacterial SSU rRNA". It matches the Rfam family "Bacterial small subunit ribosomal RNA", at positions 20 to 681 of the family's 1533-position model. The record is from RNAcentral. Lineage: Bacteria; Pseudomonadati; Verrucomicrobiota; Verrucomicrobiia; Verrucomicrobiales; Akkermansiaceae.
GAAUUCACUAGUGAUUUGGCGGCGUGGAUAAGACAUGCAAGUCGAACGAGAGAAUUGCUAGCUUGCUAAUAAUUCUCUAGUGGCGCACGGGUGAGUAACACGUGAGUAACCUGCCCCCGAGAGCGGGAUAGCCCUGGGAAACUGGGAUUAAUACCGCAUAGUAUCGAAAGAUUAAAGCAGCAAUGCGCUUGGGGAUGGGCUCGCGGCCUAUUAGUUAGUUGGUGAGGUAACGGCUCACCAAGGCGAUGACGGGUAGCCGGUCUGAGAGGAUGUCCGGCCACACUGGAACUGAGACACGGUCCAGACACCUACGGGUGGCAGCAGUCGAGAAUCAUUCACAAUGGGGGAAACCCUGAUGGUGCGACGCCGCGUGGGGGAAUGAAGGUCUUCGGAUUGUAAACCCCUGUCAUGUGGGAGCAAAUUAAAAAGAUAGUACCACAAGAGGAAGAGACGGCUAACUCUGUGCCAGCAGCCGCGGUAAUACAGAGGUCUCAAGCGUUGUUCGGAAUCACUGGGCGUAAAGCGUGCGUAGGCUGUUUCGUAAGUCGUGUGUGAAAGGCGCGGGCUCAACCCGCGGACGGCACAUGAUACUGCGAGACUAGAGUAAUGGAGGGGAAACCGGAAUUCACGGUGUAGCAA